UGGGCAACCUGCCCAAAAGCGCGGAAUAGCUCGGCGAAAGUCGAAUUAAUACCGCAUAUAGCCAUUGAGCUUAUGCUCAAAAAGCUAAAAACGGCGCAAGCUGUUGCUUCUGGAUGGGCCCGCGGCCUAUCAGCUAGUUGGCGAGGUAACGGCUCACCAAGGCUAUGACGGGUAGCUGGUCUGAGAGGACGACCAGCCACACUGGAACUGAGACACGGUUCAGACACCUACGGGUGGCAGCAGUCGAGAAUUUUUCUCAAUGGGCGAAAGCCUGAAGGAGCGACGCCGCGUGAAGGAUGAAGGUCUUCGGAUUGUAAACUUCUGUCAUUAAGGAACAAACAUUCCGUUUAACUAACGGAAAACUGAUAGUACUUAAAGAGGAAGGGACGGCUAACUCUGUGCCAGCAGCCGCGGUAAUACAGAGGUCUCAACCGUUGUUCGGAUUUAUUGGGCGUAAAGGGUGCGUAGGUGGUCGUGUAAGUCGGAUGUGAAAUCCUAAGGCUCAACCUUGGAACUGCAUUCGAUACUGCGCGGCUUGAGCGCUGGAAAGGAGACUGGAAUUUACGGUGUAGCAGUGAAAUGCGUAGAUAUCGUAAGGAAGACCAGUGGCGAAAGCGAGUCUCUGGACAGAUGCUGACACUGAGGCACGAAGGCCAGGGGAGCAAACGGGAUUAGAUACCCUGGUAGUCC
Molecule: ribosomal RNA, 690 nt
Filed under: uncultured bacterium
Lineage: Bacteria
Description: bacterial SSU rRNA
Rfam family: Bacterial small subunit ribosomal RNA
Source: RNAcentral